Molecule: long non-coding RNA, 1614 nt
Organism: Jatropha curcas
Lineage: Eukaryota; Viridiplantae; Streptophyta; Magnoliopsida; Malpighiales; Euphorbiaceae
Source: RefSeq, a predicted model, not a curated record
AACUUUUCAUUCAUUGGACGGUGAAACAUCUUACAACUCCAAAAUUGCGGACCACUACACUACCUCCACGAGACUUCAACGAGUUUGCAUCUCAUACUCAAUCACGAAAGCCACCAGCAUUAUUGCCAUCUCCAAGUCGACGACCGCCACCAGCAGUAUUGUUCGUAUUCUCCGGUGAAGUUAUCUAGCUCAAACAACGACCAUUAUUGCCCAUCUCCAAGUCCACAACGGCCACCAGUAUUGUUAGUCUUCUCCGGCAACGUCAUCUAGCUAAAACAAUGCUGUGGAUGAAAGUGAGAUAUUUAAGGAAGCAUUGAGAUCUUCUGAUCUUAAAAAGCAUGGAAAAACAAGGAUAACUCAUAGUAGAAGAAAGAGUGUGUUAGAAUCUUGUAAUUAUUGGAAUAUCUUGUGUGGGAGUUGGACCUCACAGCCACCGAAGAUUAACUCCUCAGCUUUUAGCGAUCCAGGACAAAAAAUUUCUUCCCCGGGAACUUCACCGUCGACCGCCCGCCAUCACAAGCUUCCUGGCUCCGACCCACACGCCGGCGCGUGAGCCCAAUUCCGGUGAUCUCUUCUUCAACAGCCACCUCUGACCGGUUCGCCUGAGUCCGGCCAUCCCUUUUUCGGUCACCCUCUUCACUGUCCCUUUCUCUUUUCAAGCCUAAGGUACUCACAACCCUCUUUUUAUCCACUGUCAGGUACAAAACUUGACAAAACUAUCUUCCAGACUCAGAAAUAUGACUUAAACCACUCUUCUCUAAUUCCCCUGUUAUUACUACUGUGAAGCUUCUAGGCAGUAGCAAUUAUGUUUCUUGGUCUUCUUCUAUUGAAUUAUGGUUUAUGGGACAAGGGUUUGAUGAUCAUUUAAGUAAAAAUGCUGUUGAUAUUUUAGAAAAAGAUAAGGCCACAUGGUCUAAAAUUGAUGCACAAUUGUUUAGUUUGGUGUGGCAUUCUCUUGAGCCCAAACUACUUCCCUUAUUUCAAUCUUGCUAAACCUAUUGUAAGGUCUAGACCAAAGCCAAGAUACUAUAUACCAAUGACAUACAAUGAAUAUACAAAGUUGUCUCUGAUAUUGUUAAUUAUGGCUAGUUAUCUUGGACAAGUUGAGACAUUACUUGAUGAGUUUAAUUUCAUUGUGCCUUUUUCAAAAAGUAUUGCUACACAAGAACAACAGAGGAAUGAAUUCUUCAUGGUUUUGGCGCUCAUAGGUCUUCGGCUUGAUCUUAGCUCAGUUCGAGAUCAAGUUCUGAGAGGUUCUGCCAUUCCCACCUUGGAGGAUAUCUUUGCUCGUCUCUUUCGCAUCUUUGUGACUCCAGUUUCACCACCUACUAUUGAAGCAUCUUUAUUUGCGGUACAAAAUAGUAGUCGCAAGUGGAAAGCUAACAAAUCUAAACACUAUACUCAUUGUGACAAGCUUGGUCAUACUUGGGAAAGUUGUUGGAAAUUGCACGGUAAACCAUCACAUAAUUUUACUAACGUAACUUAACAUUUUCUUGUAGCUGUUUCCCUUUUCUUUUUUUUUUUUUCUUUUUUUCCUUGAUUAUUGAUUGCUAAGAAGACAAAAUCUUGUUCUUUUUUCUACUAAAUUAUUUUAAGUUCAUUUUUUAGAAUGCA